RNAcentral lists this ribosomal RNA (429 nucleotides) under uncultured bacterium. RNAcentral's name for it is "bacterial SSU rRNA". It matches the Rfam family "Bacterial small subunit ribosomal RNA", at positions 917 to 1349 of the family's 1533-position model. The record is from RNAcentral.
GGGUCCGCACAAGCGGUGGAGCAUGUGGUUUAAUUCGAUAAUACGCGAGGAACCUUACCUAGGCUAGAAUGCGAGUGACAUCCAGAGAGAUCUGGAGUUCUUCGGACACAAAGCAAGGUGCUGCAUGGUUGUCGUCAGCUCGUGCCGUGAGGUGUUGGGUUAAGUCCCGCAACGAGCGCAACCCCUGUUUUUAGUUGCCAGCAAGUAAUGUUGGGGACUCUAGAAAGACUGCCUGCGUAAGCAGAGAGGAAGGAGGGGACGACGUCAAAUCAGCAUGGCCCUUAUGCCUAGGGCUACACACGUGCUACAAUGGCGUAUACAAAGGGUAGCGAACCAGUGAUGGUAAGCCAAUCUCUAAAAGUACGUCUCAGUUCGGAUUGAAGUCUGCAACUCGACUUCAUGAAGCUGGAAUCGCUAGUAAUCGUGUAU